GAGGGUAUAGCUCAGUGGUAGAAUGCGUGCCUUGCAAGCUCGAGGUCCUGGGUUCAAUCCCCAGUACCUCCA
This 72-nucleotide transfer RNA is filed under the name Camelus bactrianus (Bactrian camel). It matches the Rfam family "tRNA". From Rfam's summary of the family: Transfer RNA (tRNA) molecules are approximately 80 nucleotides in length. Their secondary structure includes four short double-helical elements and three loops (D, anti-codon, and T loops). Further hydrogen bonds mediate the characteristic L-shaped molecular structure. tRNAs have two regions of fundamental functional importance: the anti-codon, which is responsible for specific mRNA codon recognition, and the 3' end, to which the tRNAs corresponding amino acid is attached (by aminoacyl-tRNA synthetases). tRNAs cope with the degeneracy of the genetic code in two manners: having more than one tRNA (with a specific anti-codon) for a particular amino acid; and 'wobble' base-pairing, i.e. permitting non-standard base-pairing at the 3rd anti-codon position. The record is from Rfam by way of RNAcentral. Lineage: Eukaryota; Metazoa; Chordata; Mammalia; Artiodactyla; Camelidae. RNAcentral also lists the same sequence under 1 other name.